Long non-coding RNA from Melitaea cinxia (Glanville fritillary), 612 nucleotides. RefSeq lists it as uncharacterized. The transcript is spliced from 2 exons. Lineage: Eukaryota; Metazoa; Arthropoda; Insecta; Lepidoptera; Nymphalidae. The record is from RefSeq and is a predicted model, not a curated record.
CUGUACUUAAGCUUUUCUAUUAGCUCUAGCAUACCUCUUUGUAGGCUCAAUUGUUGUUGCUCAGACAUGGAUUUCAUACAUGGCACUAAACUUAAAAGAAACAUUUCACAUGGAUCUUGUUGUGGCUCAGAUUGUUGUUUAUUUUCCAGUCUUUCCUUUUUUAGUUUAAAAUUGUUAAUUUUUGUAAAUUUUUAGUCUAAAAGUGUGUAUUUUUGGGGAUUUUAUAGGAGUCUGAAGUUUGAAGAUUAUGGACUAGGUAUAUAUUUGUAGGAACCAGAAUAUGGCUCGUUUACAGUGGUCCAAAAAUUUUUUUCAGCUUGAGAGCAUCAUGAAUGAUCAUUUAAAACAAACUUUACGAAAACUUAUGGUUUAGAAAUUAUGAUUUAAUGAAAUUUGGUAUAGGCCCAUGUAGUGUGAAUAAUUAGACUGUAUUUUUUAUUUCACUUUUUCUGUAGUUUUUUUUAAAUUUUCGGCAAAAUAUUGAUUUUCGAAAAAAUUCUGUGAAAACUUAAUUGUAAUGUCAAUUUAUUGAGUUUUUUGUGGUUAUUUAGUUUUUAAGUUUAUAUCUUAAUAAAAAGUUUGGAGAAUUAAUAAAACAACAUAAAUAAUUAA